AAGACCUUGCGCUUUUGGAGCGGCCGAUGCCUGAUUAGCUUGUUGGUAAGGUAAAAGCUUACCAAGGCUUCGAUCAGUAGCUGGUCUGAGAGGACGGCCAGCCACUGGGACUGAGACACGGCCCAGACUCCUACGGGAGGCAGCAGUGGGGAAUUUUGGACAAUGGGGGCAACCCUGAUCCAGCCAUGCCGCGUGAGUGAAGAAGGCCUUCGGGUUGUAAAGCUCUUUCAGCCGGAACGAAACGGUUACGGUUAAUACCCGUGACUACUGACGGUACCGGAAGAAGAAGCACCGGCUAACUACGUGCCAGCAGCCGCGGUAAUACGUAGGGUGCGAGCGUUAAUCGGAAUUACUGGGCGUAAAGCGUGCGCAGGUGGUUUUGUAAGUCAGAUGUGAAAGCCCCGGGCUCAACCUGGGAACU
Molecule: ribosomal RNA, 421 nt
Filed under: uncultured bacterium
Lineage: Bacteria
Description: bacterial SSU rRNA
Rfam family: Bacterial small subunit ribosomal RNA
Source: RNAcentral